UCAGGAGUUUAUCAACUUCCUCAACUAUUGCCUUCUGCCUUUCCAGUGCAUGACCUCAGAUUUUUUCCUUCAUUGGCCGAUGUUUGGGAUCAACAGCUAGACGAUGUUCCACGACUUCCAUAUCAAUCCCCGACAUGUCCGUCGGAACUCAGUCAAAAAUAUCCACAUUUUUUUGUAGAAAAUUGAUGAGCCGUGUCCGUACCUCUUCUCCC
This 212-nucleotide long non-coding RNA is filed under the name Elaeis guineensis (African oil palm). RNAcentral's name for it is "long non-coding RNA (EGUI_LNC077620)". The record is from RNAcentral. Lineage: Eukaryota; Viridiplantae; Streptophyta; Magnoliopsida; Arecales; Arecaceae.